AACGAACGCUGGCGGCAUGCCUAAUACAUGCAAGUCGAACGAUCACUUCGGUGGUAGUGGCGCACGGGUGCGUAACGCGUGGGAAUCUGCCCUUGGGUUCGGAAUAACAUCUGGAAACGGAUGCUAAUACCGGAUGAUGACGUAAGUCCAAAGAUUUAUCGCACAGGGCUGAGCCCGCGUAGGAUUAGCUAGGUGGUGGGGUAAAGGCCUACCAAGGCGACGAUCCUUAGCUGGUCUGAGAGGAUGAUCAGCCACACUGGGACUGAGACACGGCCCAGACUCCUACGGGAGGCAGCAGUAGGGAAUAUUGGACAAUGGGGGCAACCCUGAUCCAGCAAUGCCGCGUGAGGGAUGAAGGCCCUAGGGUUGUAAAGCUCUUUUACCCGGGAUGAUAAUGACAGUACCGGGAGAAUAAGCCCCGGCUAACUCCGUGCCAGCCGCCGCCGUAA
RNAcentral lists this ribosomal RNA (449 nucleotides) under uncultured bacterium. RNAcentral describes it as "partial 16S ribosomal RNA". It matches the Rfam family "Bacterial small subunit ribosomal RNA", at positions 29 to 523 of the family's 1533-position model. The record is from RNAcentral.